GUAGGUGGCAAGCGUUGUCCGGAAUUAUUGGGCGUAAAGCGCGCGCAGGUGGUUCUUUAAGUCUGAUGUGAAAGCCCCCGGCUCAACCGGGGAGGGUCAUUGGAAACUGGGGAACUUGAGUGCAGGAGAGGAAAGUGGAAUUCCACGUGUAGCGGUGAAAUGCGUAGAUAUGUGGAGGAACACCAGUGGCGAAGGCGACUUUCUGGCCUGUAACUGACACUGAGGCGCGAAAGCGUGGGAGCAAACAGGGAUUAGAUACCCUGGUAGUCCACGCCGUAAACGAUGAGUGCUAAGUGUUGGGGGGGUUUCCCGCCCCUCAGUGCUGCAGCUAACGCAUUAAGCACUCCGCCUGGGGAUACGGUCGCAAGACUG
This 372-nucleotide ribosomal RNA is filed under the name uncultured organism. RNAcentral describes it as "partial 16S ribosomal RNA". It matches the Rfam family "Bacterial small subunit ribosomal RNA", at positions 527 to 896 of the family's 1533-position model. The record is from RNAcentral.